AGUAAAGUGUCUGAUUUAAGUUGUAAAUUGUAAAUUUAUAUAAGAGAAUAAUAUUCUUCUCCUUUACUA
Molecule: transfer RNA, 69 nt
Filed under: Evania appendigaster
Lineage: Eukaryota; Metazoa; Arthropoda; Insecta; Hymenoptera; Evaniidae
Description: tRNA-Tyr
Source: RNAcentral